Molecule: ribosomal RNA, 151 nt
Filed under: uncultured bacterium
Lineage: Bacteria
Description: partial 16S ribosomal RNA
Rfam family: Bacterial small subunit ribosomal RNA
Source: RNAcentral
GAAGGAAUAUUGGUCAAUGGACGAGAGUCUGAACCAGCCAAGUAGCGUGAAGGAUGACUGCCCUAUGGGUUGUAACUUCUUUUAUAUGGGAAUAAAGUUUUCCACGUGUGGAAUUUUGUAUGUACCAUAUGAAUAAGGAUCGGCUAACUCC